GUUGAACGCUAGCUACCGGCUUAACACAUUCAAGUCGAGGGACCGGCGCACGGGUGAGUAACACGUAUCCAACCUGCCCUUUACUCGGGGCUAGCCUUUCGUAAGAACGAUUAAUACCCGAUAUAAAGGAUGGUGAUGCGUUCCUUUUGUUUGUUGGUGAGGUAAUAUCCCACCAAGUCUUCCAUGGAUCGUGGUACUGAGAGGAAGGUCCCCCAGAUUGGAAGUGAGACACCGUCCAUACUCCUACGCGAGGCAGCAGUGCGGAAUAUUGGUCAAUGGGCGGUAACCUGAACCAGCCAAGUAGCGUGAAGGAUGAAGGCUUAUGGGUCGUAAACUUGUUGUAUAUAAGAAUAUGUAUUAUAUGAAUAAUGAUCGGCUAACUCCGUGCCAGCAGCCGCGGUAAUUC
Molecule: ribosomal RNA, 406 nt
Filed under: uncultured bacterium
Lineage: Bacteria
Description: partial 16S ribosomal RNA
Rfam family: Bacterial small subunit ribosomal RNA
Source: RNAcentral